AGAAGGGAGCUUGCUCCCGGAUGUUAGCGGCGGACGGGUGAGUAACACGUGGGUAACCUGCCUGUAAGACUGGGAUAACUCCGGGAAACCGGAGCUAAUACCGGAUAGUUCCUUGAACCGCAUGGUUCAAGGAUGAAAGACGGUUUCGGCUGUCACUUACAGAUGGACCCGCGGCGCAUUAGCUAGUUGGUGAGGUAACGGCUCACCAAGGCAACGAUGCGUAGCCGACCUGAGAGGGUGAUCGGCCACACUGGGACUGAGACACGGCCCAGACUCCUACGGGAGGCAGCAGUAGGGAAUCUUCCGCAAUGGACGAAAGUCUGACGGAGCAACGCCGCGUGAGUGAUGAAGGUUUUCGGAUCGUAAAGCUCUGUUGUUAGGGAAGAACAAGUGCAAGAGUAACUGCUUGCACCUUGACGGUACCUAACCAGAAAGCCACGGCUAACUACGUGCCAGCAGCCGCGGUAAUACGUAGGUGGCAAGCGUUGUCCGGAAUUAUUGGGCGUAAAGGGCUCGCAGGCGGUUUCUUAAGUCUGAUGUGAAAGCCCCCGGCUCAACCGGGGAGGGUCAUUGGAAACUGGGAAACUUGAGUGCAGAAGAGGAGAGUGGAAUUCCACGUG
Molecule: ribosomal RNA, 620 nt
Filed under: Bacillus altitudinis
Lineage: Bacteria; Bacillati; Bacillota; Bacilli; Caryophanales; Bacillaceae
Description: bacterial SSU rRNA
Rfam family: Bacterial small subunit ribosomal RNA
Source: RNAcentral